Molecule: ribosomal RNA, 479 nt
Filed under: uncultured bacterium
Lineage: Bacteria
Description: partial 16S ribosomal RNA
Rfam family: Bacterial small subunit ribosomal RNA
Source: RNAcentral
GAUGAACGCUAGCGGGAGGCCUAACACAUGCAAGCCGAGCGGUAUUGUUUCUUCGGAAAUGCGAGAGCGGCGUACGGGUGCGUAACACGUGUGCAACCUGCCUUUAUCUGGGGGAUAGCCUUUCGAAAGGAAGAUUAAUACUCCAUAAUAUAUUGAACGGCAUCGUUUAAUAUUGAAAGCUCCGGCGGAUAGAGAUGGGCACGCGCAAGAUUAGCUAGUUGGUGAGGUAACGGCUCACCAAGGCGAUGAUCUUUAGGUGGCCUGAGAGGGUGAUCCCCCACACUGGUACUGAGACACGGACCAGACCCCUACGGGAGGCAGCAGUGAGGAAUAGUGGUCAAUGGGUGCAAGCCUGAACCAGCCAUCCCGCGUGAAGGACGACUGCCCUAGGGGUUGUAAACUUCUUUUGAAUAGGGAUAAACCUACCCUCGAGAGGGUAGCUGAAGGUACUAAACGAAUAAGCACCGGCUAACUCCGUG